RNAcentral lists this ribosomal RNA (253 nucleotides) under uncultured bacterium. RNAcentral describes it as "partial 16S ribosomal RNA". It matches the Rfam family "Bacterial small subunit ribosomal RNA", at positions 524 to 776 of the family's 1533-position model. The record is from RNAcentral.
UACAGAGGUCUCAAGCGUUGUUCGGAUUCAUUGGGCGUAAAGGGUGCGUAGGUGGCGCGCUAAGUCAGGUGUGAAAUUUCGGAGCUUAACUCCGAAACUGCAUUUGAUACUGGCGUGCUUGAGGACUGGAGAGGAGACUGGAAUUCAUGGUGUAGCAGUGAAAUGCGUAGAGAUCAUGAGGAAGACCAGUGGCGAAGGCGGGUCUCUGGACAGUUCCUGACGCUGAGGCGCGAAAGCUAGGGGAGCGAACAGG